RNAcentral lists this ribosomal RNA (341 nucleotides) under uncultured Leptolinea sp. RNAcentral's name for it is "bacterial SSU rRNA". It matches the Rfam family "Bacterial small subunit ribosomal RNA", at positions 1027 to 1382 of the family's 1533-position model. Lineage: Bacteria; Bacillati; Chloroflexota; Anaerolineae; Anaerolineales; Anaerolineaceae. The record is from RNAcentral.
GGCUUGCACAGGUGCUGCAUGGCUGUCGUCAGCUCGUGUCGUGAGAUGUUCGGUUAAGUCCGCUAACGAGCGCAACCCUCGCUGUGUGUUAUAUGUGUCACACGGGACUGCCGGUCUUAAGCCGGAGGAAGGUGGGGAUGAUGUCAAGUCAGCAUGGCCUUUAUAUCCUGGGCUACACACACGCUACAAUGGCCAACACAAUAGGUUGCCAAGCCGCGAGGUGGCGCCAAUCCAUAAAGUUGGUCUCAGUUCAGAUUGUAGGCUGCAACCCGCCUGCAUGAAGAUGGAGUUGCUAGUAACCGCAGGUCAGCUAUACUGCGGUGAAUACGUUCCCGGGGCUU